This 21-nucleotide non-coding RNA is filed under the name Caenorhabditis elegans. The record is from RNAcentral. Lineage: Eukaryota; Metazoa; Nematoda; Chromadorea; Rhabditida; Rhabditidae.
UUCUGAAUCCAAGAUCGGUAC